RNAcentral lists this ribosomal RNA (398 nucleotides) under uncultured microorganism. RNAcentral describes it as "bacterial SSU rRNA". It matches the Rfam family "Archaeal small subunit ribosomal RNA", at positions 330 to 735 of the family's 1478-position model. The record is from RNAcentral.
GUGCAGCAGUCGCGAAACUUUACAAUGUGCGAAAGCACGAUAAGGGAACUCUGAGUGCCUCCUAAGGAGGCUGUUCAGGUGUCUAAAAGCACCUGAAGGAAGGGCUGGGUAAGACCGGUGCCAGCCGCCGCGGUAACACCGGCAGCCCAAGUGGUAGCCACGUUUAUUGGGUCUAAAGCGUCCGUAGCCGGCUGGGUAAGUUCCUUGGGAAAUUUGGCUGCUUAACAGUCAAGCUUUCAGGGAAUACUGCCCGGCUUGGGACCGGGAGAGGUCAGAGGUACUCCAGGGGUAGGGGUGAAAUCCAUUAAUCCUUGGGGGACCACCGGUAGCGAAGGCGUCUGACCAGACCGGGUCCGACGGUGCGGGACGAAGGCUAGGGGCGCGAACCGGAUUAGAUA